UAGGGAAUCUUCCGCAAUGGGCGAAAGCCUGACGGAGCAACGCCGCGUGAGUGAUGAAGGUCUUCGGAACGUAAAACUCUUUUAUUAGGGAAGAACAAAUGUGUAAGUAAAUAUGCACGUCUUGACGGUACCUAAUCAGAAAGCCACGGCUAACUACGUGCCAGCAGCCGCGGUAAUACGUAGGUGGCAAGCGUUAUCCGGAAUUAUUGGGCGUAAAGCGCGCGUAGGCGGUUUUUUAAGUCUGAUGUGAAAGCCCACGGCUCAACCGUGGAGGGUCAUUGGAAACUGGAAAACUUGAGUGCAGAAGAGGAAAGUGGAAUUCCAUGUGUAGCGGUGAAAUGCGCAGAGAUAUGGAGGAAAACCAGUGGCGAAGGCGACUUUCUGGUCUGUAACUGACGCUGAUGUGCGAAAGCGUGGGGAUCAAACAGG
This 429-nucleotide ribosomal RNA is filed under the name Actinomycetes bacterium. Its description in RNAcentral is "Actinobacteria bacterium partial 16S ribosomal RNA". It matches the Rfam family "Bacterial small subunit ribosomal RNA", at positions 355 to 776 of the family's 1533-position model. Lineage: Bacteria; Bacillati; Actinomycetota; Actinomycetes. The record is from RNAcentral.